RNAcentral lists this transfer RNA (76 nucleotides) under Candidatus Margulisiibacteriota bacterium. RNAcentral describes it as "tRNA-Gly". It matches the Rfam family "tRNA". Rfam says of the family: Transfer RNA (tRNA) molecules are approximately 80 nucleotides in length. Their secondary structure includes four short double-helical elements and three loops (D, anti-codon, and T loops). The record is from RNAcentral. Lineage: Bacteria; Bacillati; Candidatus Margulisiibacteriota.
GCGGGAGUAGCUCAGUUGGUAGAGCACGACCUUGCCAAGGUCGGGGUCGCGAGUUCGAGCCUCGUCUCCCGCUCCA